Molecule: unclassified non-coding RNA, 348 nt
Filed under: Hevea brasiliensis (rubber tree)
Lineage: Eukaryota; Viridiplantae; Streptophyta; Magnoliopsida; Malpighiales; Euphorbiaceae
Source: RNAcentral
CUAAUGAUGGAACUCCUUGGAAAGAUGCCGCGAAAGAUAGCUGUUGGAGGAGCUCAAUCCAAGGAUUAUUUCGAUAAGUAUGGGGACUUAAAAAGGAUUCGAAGGCUGAAAUUUUGGCCGCUUGAUCGCUUGCUGGUUGAUAAAUACAAAUAUUCUGAGAAUGAAGCUCGGGAGUUUGCAGACUUUCUUUGUCCCCUUCUCGAUUUUACACCAGAGAAGCGGCCCACUGCUCAGCAAUGCCUGCAACAUCCUUGGCUCAAUCUCAGAAGUUCUGGUCAGAUUGAGAUGAAAAGUGAAGGUGAUAUGGAAAAGUUGCAUAUAGGGAUGAGCAACCUUCAACUAAAGGUG